Molecule: ribosomal RNA, 253 nt
Filed under: uncultured bacterium
Lineage: Bacteria
Description: partial 16S ribosomal RNA
Rfam family: Bacterial small subunit ribosomal RNA
Source: RNAcentral
UACGGAGGGAGCUAGCGUUGUUCGGAAUUACUGGGCGUAAAGCGCGCGUAGGCGGCUUUGUAAGUUAGAGGUGAAAGCCCGGGGCUCAACUCCGGAAUUGCCUUUAAGACUGCAUCGCUAGAAUUGUGGAGAGGUAAGUGGAAUUCCGAGUGUAGAGGUGAAAUUCGUAGAUAUUCGGAAGAACACCAGUGGGGAAGGCCGCUUACUGGACCAACAUUGACGCUGAGGGGCGAAAGCGUGGGGAGCAAACAGG